RNAcentral lists this ribosomal RNA (537 nucleotides) under Fusarium sp. RNAcentral describes it as "LSU rRNA". It matches the Rfam family "Eukaryotic large subunit ribosomal RNA", at positions 76 to 636 of the family's 3401-position model. Lineage: Eukaryota; Fungi; Ascomycota; Sordariomycetes; Hypocreales; Nectriaceae. The record is from RNAcentral.
UGCCCUAGUAACGGCGAGUGAAGCGGCAACAGCUCAAAUUUGAAAUCUGGCUUUCGGGCCCGAGUUGUAAUUUGUAGAGGAUACUUUUGAUGCGGUGCCUUCCGAGUUCCCUGGAACGGGACGCCAUAGAGGGUGAGAGCCCCGUCUGGUUGGAUGCCAAAUCUCUGUAAAGUUCCUUCGACGAGUCGAGUAGUUUGGGAAUGCUGCUCUAAAUGGGAGGUAUAUGUCUUCUAAAGCUAAAUAUUGGCCAGAGACCGAUAGCGCACAAGUAGAGUGAUCGAAAGAUGAAAAGCACUUUGAAAAGAGAGUUAAAAAGUACGUGAAAUUGUUGAAAGGGAAGCGUUUAUGACCAGACUUGGACUUGGUUAAUCAUCUGGGGUUCUCCCCAGUGCACUUUUCCAGUUCAGGCCAGCAUCAGUUUUCGCCGGGGGAUAAAGGCUUCGGGAAUGUAGCUCUCUUCGGGGAGUGUUAUAGCCCGUUGUGUAAUACCCUGGCGGAGACUGAGGUUCGCGCUUCUGCAAGGAUGCUGGCGUAAUG